RNAcentral lists this small RNA (123 nucleotides) under Marmota monax (woodchuck). Lineage: Eukaryota; Metazoa; Chordata; Mammalia; Rodentia; Sciuridae. The record is from RNAcentral.
GCUGGGCACGGUGGUGCCCGCCUGUCAUCCCAGCGACUUGGGAGGCUGAGGCAGGAGGAUCGCCAGUUCAAAUCCAGCCUCAGCAACAGCUAGAUGCUAAGCAACAGUGAGACCCUGUCUCUA